This 301-nucleotide ribosomal RNA is filed under the name uncultured bacterium. RNAcentral describes it as "partial 16S ribosomal RNA". It matches the Rfam family "Bacterial small subunit ribosomal RNA", at positions 509 to 807 of the family's 1533-position model. The record is from RNAcentral.
CAGUAGCCGCGGUAAUACGAAGGGUGCAAGCGUUAACCGGAAUUACUGGGCGUAAAGCGCGCGUAGGUGGUUUGUUAAGUUGGAUGUGAAAUCCCCGGGCUCAACCUGGGAACUGCAUUCAAAACUGACUGACUAGAGUAUGGUAGAGGGUGGUGGAAUUUCCUGUGUAGCGGUGAAAUGCGUAGAUAUAGGAAGGAACACCAGUGGCGAAGGCGACCACCUGGACUAAUACUGACACUGAGGUGCGAAAGCGUGGGGAGCAAACAGGAUUAGAUACCCCAGUAGUCCCUGUCUCUUAUAC